Molecule: long non-coding RNA, 8242 nt
Filed under: Zea mays
Lineage: Eukaryota; Viridiplantae; Streptophyta; Magnoliopsida; Poales; Poaceae
Description: long non-coding RNA (ZMAY_LNC000427)
Source: RNAcentral
UUCAGGCUGAGAAACAUACAUACACUUCUUCCAGUUCACCAUUCUGAAAAUAACAUUGACAAAGAAAAUAGAAAAGGUUGAUUGGGAGUUGGGACUGGCCGUCUGCCCUUGUUGCAAUGGAACAGCGAUCUUUUGGUCAAUCAAACCUGAGCCAUUGUUUACAAAACAUAAAUAACAUCAUAUCUGCUAGGGCAAAUUGAUGUGAAGAUAAGACGCUUCUUAAUUUACAAAACAUAAAUGACAUCACAUCUAAUAUUAAUUUGGAAAUAAGACGCCUCUUAAUUUAGAGCCACACCCUUCUGAGGACCCGUCCAGUUCCCUGCAACCUACGUUCCACUGAAAACAGCAUCUUUAAAAGCAUGUUGAAAAUCCAAACCAAAUUUCUCCAGGCCGCUAAAAGAAGGAACUUGUCAAAAAGAGCUAUCACGUUCGUUCCAAGAAGCUAGAAUUUUCGCAAUUGCAUUGCUAGGUAGUCUGGCUUCUGCCUCCCCAAUUGAGUGUUAAGUACAAACUCCAUCCGAGUUGCUGCACAUAAACAUUUGCCGGCACCUACUCUACUAUUGCCAUUUUUCCCACCAUGGCCGUGUUCGACAUGAAGUCCGCUCCCUUGAUGAUCCUAGAACUCCUCUUAGUUAGCCUUGGCCUUACCAUUGCGCCCUUCAGCGCCGAAGAAAACAACGACCACUGGUUCGUCUACUCUGGCUUCGCCAAUGCUAGCCUCACCCUAGACAACACAGCCUCGAUCACACCAAGCGGGUUGCUGGAGCUGACCAAUGGCACGGUCAUGAGCAUGGGCCAUGCCUUCUACCCGACUCCACUGCGCCUCCGUGACUCGCCCAACAGCACGGUGCAGUCCUUCUCUGCCUCCUUCGUGUUCGGCAUCAUCUCCAUCUACGACGACUUGAGCAGCCACGGCCUCGCUAUGUUGAUUGCACCGAGCAGGACACUUUCCGCGCUUCCAGUGCAAUACCUGGGCCUCCUAAGUGGCUCCAACGAUGGCAACAAGAGCAACCAUAUCUUCGCCGUUGAGCUUGACACCUACCAGAACAGUGAGUUUAAGGACAUCAACAACAACCACAUCGGCAUCGACAUCAACAGCAUGACCUCCGUGCAGUCCAACCCGGCUGGUUUCUUCCAUGAUCAAGAUGGAACCUUCGAAAACCUGACACUCAGUAGCAAAGAGGCGAUGCGGGUGUGGGUGGAGUACGAUCGAGAGAAUACACAGAUUGACGUCACCAUGGCUCCUCUGGCCAUAGUCAAACCUAAGAGACCAACAGUGUCCACUAUCCAAAACCUCUCAGACGUGCUCACCGACGUGGCAUACGUCGGUUUCUCAUCGUCAACGGGCAAGAUCCAUACGCAACACUAUGUUCUCGGCUGGAGCUUCGCCAUGAACGGCCCUGCUCCGUCCAUCGACCUGAGCAUGCUUCCAAAGCUUCCACGGCAUCAUCACAAGAGUCGACGAUCCUGGGUGUUAGAGACAGUUCUGCCCAUAGCAACUGCAGCAUUGCUCUUGUCUCUUGGUGUCGUUGCUUUCUUGCUUGUGCGGAGGCAUGUCAGGUACGCGGAGAUACGGGAAGACUGGGAAUUGGAGUUCGGCCCGCACCGAUUCUCAUACAAGGACCUGUUCCAUGCGACGGGUGGAUUUGAGAACAAGAAUCUUCUUGGCAUUGGAGGAUUUGGGAGAGUGUACAAAGGGGAGCUCCCGAGAUCGAGAUUGAAGAUAGCCGUGAAGAGGGUAUCGCAUGACUCCAAGCAAGGGAUGAAGGAGUUUAUCGCGGAGAUCGUCAGCAUAGGACGUCUUCAGAACCGCAAUCUCGUCCAGUUGCUUGGCUACUGUCGUCGCAAAGGUGAGCUCCUACUGGUAUAUGAGUACAUGCCCAAUGGAAGCUUGGAUAAAUACCUGCAUAAUGCAAAAGAGGGCAACUCUGCGUUGAGUUGGGCUCAAAGGUUUCGGAUCAUCAAGGGAAUCGCAUCCGGCCUACUGUAUCUCCAUGAGGAGUGGGAGAAGGUAGUUGUUCACAGAGACAUCAAGGGAAGCAAUGUGCUCCUCGACAGCGAGAUGAAUGGACGGUUAGGCGAUUUCGGCCUUGCAAGGUUGUAUGAUCACGGUGUCGACCCACAGACCACACAUGUGGUUGGCACCAUAGGUUACCUUGCUCCGAAGCUCGCACGCGGCGGAAAUGCCACUCCCCUUACAGAUGUUUUCUCCUUUGGUAUGUUUGUCCUUGAGGUCACCUGUGGACAGAGGCCUGUCAGACACGAAAAUGUGCAAGAUAGCCAACUCAUGCUGGUUGAUUGGGUGCUCGACAAGGUGCGAGAAGGAUCAUUCGGUGCUACCAUGGAUGCUAGGCUUGAAGGGAAGUAUGAUAUCGGUGAGGCAUACUUGGCGUUGAAAAUAGGGCUGUUGUGUUCACACCCAUUCGCCAGUGAAAGGCCUACCAUGCGGCAAGUCAUACAAUACUUGGAUGGGGAGAUUGAGGCUCCAGAUUUAAGCUUCGAGGUGCUAGCCUCUAUGCAAAGUGAAGGGAUCGAUCCAUACCUCAUUUCAUAUCCCUUGUCAACAGAAUGCUUCAGCACAACGUCAAACGUCGUCUCUGGAGGAAGAUGAAAAUGUGUUGUCAUGAAUGGAUACAAAUAUGUUUAUUGCAUACCCUAAGUAACUUAUUUGCAGGUUCUUUUUAGGAGAACACACUGACUAAGGUUUUGGAGUCAACUUCAAAGUAAAGAUGAAAACAAGGAUCUAAUAAUAAAAGGCUGCAGAAGGAUGGAGUCAGUUGGGAUGCACAUCUUCGCGCACUAUGGCUGGAGAUUCAUAAACAGAUUGUCAUUAUAAUUUUGUUUUUCUGUGUUUUCGUGAGUGCCUAUACUAUGUGUCGGAGGUUUGUCCAUCCUUGGUGUUGUAGUCCCUGUGACUACUGUUUUUGUAAGCGUUGGCCCUAGCCUCUCGUUUUGACUUUUGAGGUUAAAGCCGGACAUUUCCAUUAUCUAAAAAAAGAAAUUAAAUGUGCAUUGUAUAUAUAGAGGAAGCCUACAUAACUCGAGGAUAUUGUUAUUAAUUUGCCUGUAAAAUAGUGUGCUUCUUUUUCUGUUUGCAUCCAGAUAUCUUGUGUUUUUUGUUCAAUUACUUCGUGCAGCACCCUUGUUUUGCAUUAGAACCUCCAAUCAAAUAAUUGACGGUACUCACUGAUGUCAAAAUUCACUAGCUUUCACUGUAAGAUAACUACUAUUCAUAAGUAGUCAGUUAUAUAUGUUUGUUUUUUUACAACUAUUCAUAUGUGCAUCCAUGAGAAUCAUAAGGCCAGAUGGAUGAAAAAAAUCGACAAGACAACUAAGCUACAUAAUAACAUGUUCAGUCAUAUAAAAGAUUUUUUUUUGCUUAACACAAUUAUAUAAAAAAAUGUAUAUGUUACAUCCAUCUACCUGAAUCCUCCCAUGCCAGGUUCCCUUGAUCCUAGCUAAGUAUUGGUAAUCUCUAUGAAUUGUACUAGUAUGACCAGAAACAUAUUGCCAAGUGUGCACUGAAUGUACAUAAGAUAUUUUCGGUAAGUAGGAAUCUGGAACUGGCAUUUUGAAGUCUGUAAGUCUCAAAUGCAAAGUUCCCUUGGUCCUAGACAAUCUCUACAUCUCAAUCAGACAAAUAAUAAUGUGUCUGGAGUCUGGACAAAUUGUACUCCUAUAGAUACAACCAUGAGGGUACUCAGAAGUCCAUGCUGAAUCCAUAUAAGAUUUUUUCAGGAAGUAAGGAUUUGGACCUGGCAUUCUGAAGUAGUGAAGCCUGAAUAACCAGAUGCCAAGUAGCUUUGAAACAAGGUAAUCUCCACAAUUCACACACAGACAAAGAAUGAACGAAUUGUUUUGUACUUUUAUGACCACACAUAUGUUUGCAUCAAAGCAGCACACAUCGCAUCAAGCUUCGUUUUCAGUUAUUUCCCUUCUUUAAAUGCACUUGUUUACUUCUAGUUCCUUCCAUUUUACAUGGAAAAAAUAAAUAUUUCGAUGUUCACAGGGAUCCAUAUCCCUGUUAGCAACUUUAUGUUUUCCUUAGUCUAUACUCUAUAGUAGUAUAGUUAUAGGAAGCUAGGUUCUGGCUCUUGCUUAAGCUUAGUAUUUAAAAAAUUUAGAUCACAUUGCAUAUAUAAGAAAUUAUAUGCACGUAGGAUUAGAUCCUAUUUCUACAGAACAAAAUUUUAUGUAUAAUCGCAGCUUCAGGCCUUUAAUCAGAAGCCUGAGAUAUGAGUUAACAAGUAUUCCCUCCAACCUAGGUAAUCACUUCAAGUGGCCGUCAGAUAGGUAUACAUCAAAGCUUUAUUACACAUUUAACAAGCUUUGUUUUCAGCCUCCAUCUUUAAAUGCAAUGUUGUAAGCUAUUCUUGUCCACAACCUGUUAAAGGACUACAAAAAGUUGAUUGGAAUCCUCUACCCUUGUUGCAAUGGAACAGCGAUCUUUACUAGCCCGUGUCUCACGGGACACAUUUGUUUCUUUUGUUAAGCUCUAACCAGUCCACAUUCUGGAUGAAAGCAGAAAUGUAUGCUAACAAUGCUUGACUCAAAAAUUUAGCCUUCUUGUGCAAACAAUGGAAGCUUUCUUUCUGGAUCUUAGUUUGGGUUCAUAGUUUAUGUACAAGCAUUAAAGCUUCCCUUAUAGAAAAAAAGUUUUAUAUACAAGCAUGAAAGAUGCUACUUGUACAAUACGGAGCCUCCUAUUCAUGACAAAAAGUUGAUAUGAUGAUAUGAUGGUUCAGCUGAAUGAUUUUUAGCUGACAUUGUCUUACUACAUUUCAUGUUCAGUUAUUCUGGAAUCCUAAAUACUCCCUUCAUUCCAAAUUGUAAGAUGUUUUGUCUUUUCUAGUUACAUAGCUUUUGCUAUACACUUGGAUAUGCAUUGUAUCUAAAAGAACGUCUUACAAUUUAGAACAGAUGGAGUACUUGUUAGGCUGUUACUUAAAAUCAAUUCUAAGAUGUGGUAGCAAAUAAACCUAACAGUAUAAGUGUCUAUAUCACCUAUUAAAAUUUAGACAAUAACAGAUGUUGAAAAUCCAGAAACUAGACUUGGUAUGAAGCAGCAAGUUAAAAUCUAAUAUAAACUGAACCACUGAGUGCAAGCGGAAACCAGAUAGCAUUGGUUGCCCACAUAACACUUACUGCUUGCUAUCCUUGUUGAUUUGCAGCUUGCAAGACACACACAUGCUUGUAAUGGCAAUGAAGCAUACGUCCUUCCUUCCGUACCUGCUCCUCCUCACAACCUUGGCAUCCUGCGAUGAUCAAUUUCUGUUAUCUGGCUUCACCCAAUCCAGCUUAAACCUUGAUGGUUCUGCCAUCGUCACAAAUGAUGGCCUCCUUGAUCUGACCAAUAGCACUGCAAUUACCAACGGUCACGCAUUCUACCCCAGCCCUUUGCACUUCCGCAAAUCACCUGAUGGUAAAGUUGAAUCCUUCUCAGUCAAUGUUGUUUUCAGCAUCUUCAUCACAUACCCAGACUUGAGUGCUGACGGCAUGGCCUUCUUCAUCGCACCUACCAAGAAUUUCUCUGAUGCACGGGCAGGCAAGUACUUUGGCUUGCUCAACGAAAACAACAAUGGAAACACAAGAAACCACAUCUUCAUGGUCGAGCUUGAUACCUACAAAAAUGCUGAGGUACAAGAUAUCAACGACAACCACGUUGGAAUCAACAUCAACGGUGUAUUCUCCUUCAAAUCCAAUACAUCUGGCUUCUAUGAAGAUAGUGGUGCCUUCCGGGAGCUGACACUGAAUGGAAACAAGGGAACACAACUGUGGAUCGACUAUGACAAGAGUACUAUGCAGAUCAAUGUGACCCUGGCUCCGAUCAACGUGCACAAACCAUCCAGGCCACUGCUGUCUACAACCUAUGAUCUCUCAACUGUAAUCUCCACCUCAACUUCAUACAUUGGAUUCGCAUCCGGAGCUUCUCCCGUGAACUCCCGUCAUUAUGUGAUGGGCUGGAGCUUUGGCAUGAAUAAACCAGCCCCACCCCUUGACGUCUCCAAGCUUCCCAAGUUGCCUUUCCAUGGCCCCAAGGCCCAGUCCAAGCUCUUGGCAAUUGUCCUGCCGAUAGCCACUGCAACGUUGAUCCUCUCCAUAGGCACUAUUGUCACUCUGGUUGUCCGAAGGCGGCUGAAGUAUGCUGAGGUGCGUGAGGAUUGGGAGGGUGAGUUUGGUCCACAUCGGUUUUCAUACAAGGAUUUGUACCAUGCUACAGGGGGGUUUAAGAAUAAGCACCUGCUUGGAGAAGGAGGGUUUGGGAAAGUAUACAAAGGAGUCCUUCCAUUAUCUAAUGUAGAGGUUGCUGUGAAGAGGAUGUCUCAUGAGUCAAGACAAGGAAUGAAAGAGUUUGUCACUGAGGUUGUUAGCAUCGGUCGACUCCGCCAUCGCAACCUUGUCCAGCUACUUGGCUACUGCAGGAGAAAAGGUGAGCUGUUUUUGGUUUAUAACUACAUGCCCAAUGGUAGCCUUGAUAAAUAUCUAUACUGUGAAGAGCACGGUGCUAUUUUGAACUGGGAACAGAGGUUUCGAGUCAUCAGAAACAUCGCUACCGUCUUGCUGUAUCUCCAUGAGAAGUGGGAGAAGAUAGUGAUCCACAGAGACAUCAAGGCAAGCAACGUACUCCUAGAUGGUGAAAUGAACGGCCGCCUCGGCGACUUCGGCCUUGCAAGGUUGUAUGAUCACGGCACUGACCCACAAACAACACAUAUGGUUGGAACAAAGGGAUACCUAGCACCCGAGCUUCUGCGCACAGGGAAGGCGUCCCCUCAUACAGAUGUCUUUGCCUUCGGCAUGUUCCUUCUUGAGGUUGCGUGUGGGCAAAGACCUGUCAAGAAAAAUGCAGAGGGGACUGAAUUUUUCUUGGUCGAUUGGGUGCUCGAGCACUGGAAUAAUGGUGUUAUUACAAAGACACUGGAUUCAAGGCUUCAGGGUGACUACAACAUUGAUGAGGCCCAUCUUGUGUUGAAGCUAGGACUCUUGUGCUCGCACCCACUUCCUAGUUCAAGGCCUAGGAUGCGACAAGUUAUGCAAUACCUCGAUGGCGAUACGCCACUACCCGAGCUAAGGCCAACGCAACUGAGCUCGAACAUGGUUGCCUUGAUGAAAAACAGUGGACUCAACUCAUCUGUCGUGUCAUAUCCGCAAAUAUCGACGAGCUUCUGCACAAUAUCUAGCCUCUCGGGAGGAAGAUGAUAUCUGCCAUUUUUCCGUACUUCAUUACUUAGCUGUUUAGUAUGUGACGCGUUUAAUUUUAUUGUAUAAGUCUUUGUAUUUUUAGGUGCCCACGGGUUGUAUGUUUGUCUGUUUAGUGCGGGGAUUUAUGUCUGUUUGUCUUUUGAAUUCUUUAGGUGUUGGCAGUAGUUUCUUUUUAACGGAACAUUUUUCUUCGUUGUUUUCGUCACAAGGACUUGUCCACAAGCAGCAACAUGUUCAAUACCCUAACACGAUAGUGAAUUUAGUGAUGCUAAAACACGACAUAACUGAAUAAAUAAAUCCGCAUAAAAAGAAUGCAUAACGAGAUUUCUUCAUCUAACAGAAGUUCACCAGAAGACUCGCACGGAUCUGACGCCGAGAAUGAAAUCUAACAGAUAUAAAAAGAAAUCCACAAGGGAGAAUGGUUUCUCCUUGUGUGUGUGUGUGUUUGUGUCAGUUUUGUCAGAAUUUGUGGCAAAUUGCUCUUCAAAUCGUGCCGCAGAGAGCACUGACAUACACGCACAGUUUCAUAUAGUAUUUGUUUUGGGGCGAAAAUGAAGCGAUGUAUGGUUCGGUAAUAUAUUCAUCUAGAUAAGCUCCGAACAAGCACUAAUCGCAAUUUGCGGACAAGCUUCAGAAAUCACGAUUACCUCGUACUACUGUAGUGCCGUCUCCGUGGCAGCCCGGCGGAUACCUACGCCGAGCACAGGAUAAGGCGCAGCCCCCUGCCCCUUGCCCCCCGCCCGCUGCAAUCUGGCCUUCGGCGGAGGAAUCAGGAGGCCGUAGCCGAGGAGACGAUGUCACGACCCUGGUAUUCCUGCUACUGCUACUUAUGCUGUUAAUGUUUAGUCUUUGAUUAAGUCAGUCGGAGAAGAAGAGGAUUAGAGAGGGAUUACUGUUGACCAUCAGGGUUCUAAGUCUUGUAAUAGAUCCAGACCAUUAGGCUCAUAUUAGAGUCUAUAAAUAUUUAUAAUCACAUCUGGAAGAGACUAUGAAAUGGAAUAAAGAACAAACUCCACCAAAACUUGUAUUUAUCUAAGCGCAC